Long non-coding RNA from Lagenorhynchus albirostris (white-beaked dolphin), 2692 nucleotides. RefSeq lists it as uncharacterized. The record is from RefSeq and is a predicted model, not a curated record. The transcript has 2 exons. NCBI's taxonomy places the organism in Eukaryota, Metazoa, Chordata, Mammalia, Artiodactyla, Delphinidae.
UUCUAUACAGACAUACCUCCUGUUAUUGCACUUCGCAGAUACUGCAGGGGUUUUUUCGGGUUUUGUUUUUUGUUUUUUUACAAAUUGAAGGUCUGUGGCAACCCUGCGUUGUCAGAUGAUGGUUAGCAUUUAAAGUUUUUUUUUUUUUUAAAGAAGAUGUUGGGGGUAGGAGUUUAUUAAUUUAUUUAUUUUUGCUGUGUUGGGUCUUCGUUUCUGUGCGAGGGCUUUCUUUAAUUGCGGCGAGCGGGGGCCUCUCACUAUCGCGGCCUCUCACUAUUGUGGCCUCUCUUAUUGCGGAGCACAGGCUCCAGAUUCGCAGGCUCAGUAGUUGUGGCUCAUGGGGCCUAGUUGCUCCACAGCAUGUGGGAUCUUCCCAGACCAGGGCUCGAACCCGUGUCCUCUGCAUUAGCAGGCAGAUUCUCAACCACUGCGCCACCAGGGAAGCCCUAAAGUAUUUUUAAAUUAAGGUAUAUACAUUGUUUUUUUUUAGGCACAAUGCGAUUGCACACUUAGUAGACUAUAGUGUAAACAUAAGUGUUAUAAACACCGGGAAAUCAAAAAAUUCAUGUGACUUUAUUGUGAUAUUUGCUUUGUUGUGGUAGUCUGGAACUGAACACACAAUAUCUUGGAGGGAUGACUGUACAUUGGGGGAAAGGCUUGUGUCCAUUAGGGCUUAGAAAUCUAUCCCAGAAGCAAUUGGGUAAAUACCUCAUCCAGUUUCCCCCAGCCUUUCUGGUCCAUGGUAGACGUUGCUCAUGGAUUCUGGCAUUCUCCCUGCCAAGCCUUCCGGGCAACCUGGUGUUCCCAGGCCCUCACUGUGGUUGACUCAGAGUUGGUGAACAGGUGCCAUAUCCCAGACAAACUGGGACACCCGCCCCCGUUUCCCAAGCCCCCCACCUCCCCAGUGCUCCGCAAGAGCCUGUGGUCCAGGGAAAGAGGGCCUAGACAUUGGGAAGAGACUCUCCGCCCACCACCCCCCUCCAGGUGUGCAACAGCAGGCAGGUCACUUAACUCCUUCGAACCUCCGGUUUCCUCACCUGUAAGAUGGGUGGAUGUGAGGAUCACAUGAGAUCAUAGAUGUCAGGUUGCCCAUGGGAAGUGGUGGCCACCUCUGCCCACCUACCUGUGUCCUCGUUCCUCCUUAGUAGUUGGUGGUUCUUCCAUACACCACCCUGCCACCCCACGAGCAACUCUCAGGUCCACUCAUGUAUCUCUUUGGAUUCGGGAACCUCAGACCCACUAAUGCCUGUGGCCUUUCUCUACCUGCUUAAACAAGAGUUGUCUCUCCUUCAUGUGAAGGAAAAAAGUAGUGUGUUUGGAUUUUAAAAGAAACUGUUGGGAAUCACUUCACUUUUUUUUGUUUAUUUUUGCCGUGCCAUGUGGUAUGUGGGAUAUUAGUUCCCUGACCAGGGAUCGAAUUUGCACCCCCUGUAUUGGAAGUGCAGAGUUUUAACCACUGGACCUCCAGGGAAGUCUGGGAAUCACUUUUAAAUAAUUCUACUGUAGUAGGAAGAUCAUGAGGUGAAUUCUCCUAACACCAUCAAGGCCAGUCGAGUUUUCGCAGGUUUUUCAUAGUGUAUAUGUUUUUGAUGCAGAAGUUAUCUCUGUGACUCACUUCUGCCAGAAUUUGUCCUGUUCUGUCUUGUGGUUUGGGAGGCCCUGUGUCUCCACUUGCUCCUGGCAGAUUGACAGCAUGGGGCCUUGCGGCGCUCUUUGUCUGCCGGUGGUGUCUUGUCUCCCUUCUGUACUUUUCCGGGUUAUGAUGCUGCUGUUCCAGUCUGGGCAGCCACCUCCUGCCACGCCACUAUGGCCCUUGAAACUAAACUGCCAUGUUUUCCACUUUCUAGACCAUUUAAAGGCUGACGUUGGUCUUCUUUUCGUUGCAAAAGCUGCCUAACAAUAGGCCAGUAGCCAAGGUGUUCAAUGGACAUUUCAUGGCCUUUGUCAUCCUCAGACUGCUAACAUCAUUCAGAGGUGGAAUGGACUUCUAAAAAAUCAACUCAGCAAAGAUCUCUACCUCUUCCUGAUCCAACAGUGCAGCCUGCCAAUCCCUCACCUGGUCCGCCUGAGCCCUGCAGCAGGCAGUGUGACGCAUAGACGCAGCCAGUCCUGAACCAUUCUGCUAUACCCAGUGCCAUCAGCAGCAACGCCUGAAUGUGGGCCCCACCCAUAGACGUUUACAAACACAUGGACCUGCUCAGCUUUGUUCUAAUCUGGCUGAUAAAAGCACACACUUCUGAUGCCAAGCAGCUCUGGGCUAUGCCAUGUAUGGCAAUUGAGGCCACAGCUACUCAUGGCACUGCCCAUGUGGCUUAACCAAACCAGUGCAGUGGUGUUCCAAGUCAAGUUUAAUAACAAGUCCUGAACUGGAGUGCCUUGUGCCCAGUACUCUGUGUGUUUGCAUGUGGGAAAGAACAAGUCACAAUGUCUCUCCAUUGGGCAUGAGGGCCUGCUCUGGGGCCUUGUAAUUAUCGGCCGUGACACCAAAGAUCAACAGGUCAGUCUGAACUCCCUUGUGGGCUUCCUAAUGGAUAAGAGACUAGCCUUUGAUUACAUCCUGGCUGUCUGAAAUAAGCCCUGCAUGGUCACAGCUUGAUGAGUCCAGGACACUGGAUGGCAGGUUGGCCUCAUCAACAGGAGUCACUGCUACUUGGAGUCCUGCUGACAGUAAUUAAAUGCCGUCUGAGACAAA